This is a long non-coding RNA of Juglans regia (Persian walnut), 2562 nucleotides long. RefSeq lists it as uncharacterized. The record is from RefSeq and is a predicted model, not a curated record. The transcript is spliced from 3 exons. NCBI's taxonomy places the organism in Eukaryota, Viridiplantae, Streptophyta, Magnoliopsida, Fagales, Juglandaceae.
GUUCUUUUCCGGUUCUGUUGAGAUAUUUGCAUGAAUUACAAGGAUCAUUCUUUUAGUUAUCUUGCAUUGGGGGUGGGGUGUGUCUGCAUUUGAGUGCAUAGUCUAGAUUGUGAACAGGCUUCAUGUAACGACCCAAGGAAAGGCCAAGUUAUAUCUACGCUUGUAUUCCGAAAGGACCGAUCAAUGUUACAAUUAGAACCCCUCGAAAUCAUUAUAAUUUACUUGAACUUUCUCGCCCGGCAUAUGUGGAAUCUCAUUCACCACCUUUUUGUUAUUUAGCCAAGUUAUUAAAAUCUCUUCCCUUAGAUCUAUAACGUCCUCGUCAGGUCAUUACUAAGGUGGACAUGGCUCAAGCCUCAUUCGGCACCCUUCUAUACCUAGUCCAAGGUAUUACAUGUUAUCUAGAGAUCCACAUUGCCUGGCAGAGAAAAUAUCUUGUGGUUUAUAAUAAUUUCAAGGGGUUUCAUGGGUCAUUAAACUUCUUCCGAACAAAAGCUUUUUCAUGUUUAAUAAUAUAUUGAUUCUUUUAUUUGUUGUUGUCUUAAAAGGCUUGUAAGAACAGAGCUUUGGAUGAGGUUGUGUUUAUAACUUAUUGGGUUGCGUGUAACUUACUAGUAAACAAGAAAGGCUUGUAUAUAAGAUGAUUGACUAAGAAAAUUCAAUUUUCUUUCCUGAUGCUCUCAAGACGUUUUUUUUUUUUUUUUCUCCUCAUAAAAGGGCAGGAGGGGUUAACUAGAGGUGACUUCCUUACCUGGACGUAACUAUAGUAGCACCCUACCUGCUGAGAACUGGAUAGGAGGGGCCUAGAAUGAGGGAAGCUGCAGUCGCUCCCUAAAGUUGGGAUUGAGCCAUAGCUUAGACCACAGCUCCACUAGAGAAUUCAAUAAAUUGUUAGGCAGCUAAUACUAAUCAUCUAAGGUGAGUCCAUAGUUGGAUUCGAACCCAAGACCUAGUACGUGCCAAACCACUUGGGAGUAACCCAAGGAUCAUUGAGCCACCACCCUUGGUGGUGGUGCUCUCUAGACUUUGUCUAACUUCUUUUACUCCUUUUAUUUUUCGGUGAAGCACUGUCAUUUUCCACAAGCAAUUUUGGUUCAGAUGAGCCACAUGCAGCAAGUAAGGCCUGGCAAGAUGUUCUUGAGAAACAAGAUAUAGAUGUAUCUUAAGUUCUGAACUUCUGCUUCACCCAAAGUUGUAUCGACGAAAGCUGAAAAAUGGAUUGCAUUAUCCUAUUUUACCAAAUAAUGUACCACAAAAUAGGUAUGGACUGUAUGGUUUAUCCAGACCUAAAAAGCUUACAUGUAAAGAUAGGGCAGGAUAAGAUAAUACCUGAUUUUGAUGAGCAUGAAUUUGACAUGGGGCUCACUUGAUUUGGUCAAAUAAUGCUUUAUUUAGUGGCACAAUCAAAAUUGGAAGAAAUGCACAUGGAGGAGAAGGAUGUCCAGAACAAUCUGCAAAGAAAACUUCGUGGUCAAUUGCUUUUCUUUGGCAUCACUAUGGGGCUGCUGGCUGAGAUCAUCAAUUCAAGGCAAAACUGAUCCUUCUAAGAUAUGAAGCUGAAAUUAAGUCAAAUGCCUAUUGGCUUGGAUUGUUGGGCCACUUGCAGGCGGCUUUUGUUCCAAGGAAGGACAUAUCAUGCAUCAAAGAUCUUAUACCACAAUAUGAAGCUGCCAGCAUCGAAGACCUUGCUUAUGAUCAGUUGAAAGUAGAUGAGAAUUCUUUAUGUUCAUGUGUUGGGAUUCUUGGGGCUCAGGCUGGUAACGAAAUUACCAGUGAGGAUGAAUCGCAUGAAGGCUUUCCUGGAGUUAUUCCCAUGGGACGUGUUUUAUCUACAAUGUCCCGGCCAGCCUACAGCAUGAGCUUCCUAGAUCACACUUUCUUUCUGUCUUGCUGUCUUCUAGGGAAUAUAUAUUGAACAUCGAAGGUAUGACUUUUAGUUCUCUGUAAAAUGCAUUUCUAUAUCUCCAAUAACUAGCUUUAAGCGCCCAAAUCCUAUAGUUCUCUUUAUAUCAUAAUCAUAACCCCAUGAAGCAGUAUGCUUAUGUUUACGAGGAAGUGCUUGCCCAUUUUGUAGCCAUCAUCGAUCAGGGUAUCUUCUAUUUAUUCUGAUCACCAAAACCUGACAUCCCAUGGUCUUCUUUCCUUAAUGGCAUCUUGUGACCUGAAGCAAAAGACAAGAUGAUGAUUAUGAUGAGCACUAGAGAUUCAUUCCUUACAGAGUAUGAGAUGCUGUGAAUAAGGUCUCAGUAACAAAAUAAUGUAAUCAUAGACAGCUGUGCUUGAUCUUUUUGCAGCAUCUUGACGUGAUGAAGGAACAGACAAACCUUUGCCAGCUCAAAUUACAACAGACAACCCCGAGUGCUGCAGUCGAGUCCAAUUUUUUUGUUAGUGCAGUCAUUUUUGGUCUAGACUCUAGAAUAUGUCACAUAAUCAAAGCUUUACCAAAUUUUCGAUAUAUAGUUAGCUUUAGAUACUAUAAUGAUGAGAUUAUUGUGUGAAACUGCCCCCUUUUGAGCUGGGUAAUAGGAGGCAAACACAUUUUUGGCAUUUGUCAGAUUUACU